CCACAGAUGAGCCCAGAUCAUGCGGGGGCAACAGGAGAACAUGACUUGCCCUGGCCUUUGCUGAUCACGUGGUCCUACCUAGUGGAUCCUUCUUUGAGCCCAUUCUCCAGCAAGGGUGACCUCUCCAGGAUGGUUUCCUCUCUUACCCCAUGGGCUACGUGGUUUCUGGGGGCUGUGAAAGGGUCCACUUCGGGCAGGAGCUACCAGAAGAAGGGCUCGAUGCUUCCUCUCAAGUCUGGGGGAGGCUUGCUCUCUUCCUGUGCCUGGAACUCUGCUACCCAGUGGAGCCAGCUCUAAGGUGAGCAGAGCCUCUCUCCUGAAGCUGCCUCGUGGGAGUGCUCAGAAGUCCCUGCUUCUGGUUCCAAUCCUGUCCACUCCUUGGACUCAGAAUUUAAGGUGUCUUCAUAGGGAUGACUGAUCCCCAUCAGGCUGAAGCACCUGUUCCCAAAAUGGCAGCCCCACCCCAGGACUGCUAGUGUCCUGAGCUUGCCCCAAGGGACCCCAGACAACAGGGCUGUCCCAGGUUCCCAGCAUCCUCUCCGAUUGGGAAAGACCUCAGGACCCCAGCACCAGCCUUUCAGUGUCUUCCUCUGCCUUUUCAGCAUUCCCAGUGAGCCACCAGUAAAUGGCGCCCUCAGCACUUGCUUUCAUAAUUCAUAAGAAGUCUCCAUGUCAUUAUUUGGGAGCUGGAUGGCAGGACAGAAAAACUCAUUUAUACUUGCCUCCCGAUAGGAGCCCCUUUUCUGUGCUGGCCCCUUUGGCGGGCUCUUCCUGUUGUUCCCUAACCUAUUCAGGCUGCUAAGAGACCUCACUGUUGGGGCAAGCAAGAUGACACCAAGGCAAAGAUGCCUGCUGCUCAACAAUCUGAGUUCAGUCCUUGGAAGCCAUGUAAAGAUGGACAGAGAGAAAUGACUUCAUAAAAUUGUCCUUUGACCUCCACACAUGCACCUGGUAGACAUGCUCCCCCCAUAAGUGAGAGAGAGAGAGAGAGAGAGAGAGAGAGAGAGAGAGAGAGAGAGAGAGAGAGAGAGAGAGAGAGAGAGAGACUGUUUUUGCAACUUUCUGUAAGACAAUCAUCACUUUGAAAUAAGAAGUAAGGAAGGCAAAAAACAUAGACAGAUGCUUCACCAAAGGGGAUAUUGGUGAGAGAUAUUCAGCACCAUCAGUCACUGAGGGCUGUAGAUUCCGGUCACAAUCAGAAGCCAUCUCACACGUUUAGAAAGACUGAUAGGAAAACAACUGAGCUGGAGGCACCCCACGCUUGCCAUGGGAGAGCAAAAUGGCCCAGUCACUCUGGAUGGCUUGGUGGUUUCUCAUCACCGAGUGAGAGAGAUUGCAGUGCCCGGGAAUCCCAUUGGAGGCGCUUCUCUGCAUGCAAUGACAUCUGUGUUCACAGAAACUCACACGGGGACCUUCUCAGGGCCUUCCUCUGCAAAAGCUUGAGCUUAGGACUGCCAGCAACUCUACGCAGGUGGGUUUCUGAGCAGAGGGCAGCACAUCUGUGCAGUGCACCAGUGUAGAAGGGGACCAGUGACAGAGAAGUUGACCUCCAUGUGUGAACAUGGUGGCUUUCAAUGGACUAGGAAGCCAUCUCAGAAGGUGGCCCUCUGCACCGUUUUGGCUGACAGUCUCAGAGAGACAAACCUAGCCCAGGAGAACAAAGGAGUAGCUGCCAGGCAGGGCUGGGAAAGUGGGUGGCAGGGAGGGCUGGGGGUGACAGAAGUCUUCACUGUCUGGACUAUGUUCACCAUUAUAUGGAAAAGGACCAGAAAAGGCACAGAACCCCAUGUUAGGGUUUGACUAUGAGGUGUCCCUCAGAAAGCCUCAUGGGCGCAAGGUUUGGUCCCCAGUUUGCUGCUGAGGGCUGGCUGGAUCAAAAGGGUGCUAACCUAGCAAUGGCUUAACCCAUUCAGAACUUGUUAUCCAACUUGGGGAUGGGUCACCACAUGUGUCCCAAGUCAGGUCCAGCCACCUGCCCUCAGGAGCAAAUUAAAAGAGUCAAAUUCAAAGUGGAAGGCAGGAAAGGGGAGAUGUAUUAUUGAUUGUAGCCACAUCAGGAAGAGGGACAAAGAGAUCCAGUGAACAGCCCAAGUCCAUCUUCUGGGUCCUGAAGUGAGAUCAAAGUUUAAAAAGAGAGCUAAGGAUGCGCACAUCUAAGCAGUCCUGGUCAAGGUGUGGUCCUGCCCACCACUGACCCAUCCUCCCCUGGACUUCAGUGUCACCUGUCAGGUGAUCUGAGAAGUUUUUAGAACUGUUAGAUCUUCUCCCAGGAAACAGGUUCCCAUCCAGCUGGCACUCUUCCCUUCUCAGCAGAGAUUCCUGGGGAAAUUCCCACUUCUUUGGGGGACCCUUCUUUCAAUAGCCCGAUAGUCAGAUUGAGAGACACUAGCAUCUCUUUCGAACAUCUUCAUUUCUAACAAACUGGGCCUAGUGGCACACACUGAUCCCAGCUCUUGGAAAGACAGAGGCAGAGGCAGGAGGAUCUCCAUGAGUUCCAGGCCAGCCAUGGCUAUAGAGAGAGAUCUCAUCUCAAAACAAUCAAAACCAGAAUAUCUUCAUUUCUGCCAUGCCACUUACAAACUCAGAGCUGAGUGGACCAUUAGGAGGACCAUUAGGAGGACCAUUAGGAGGACCAUUGGGAGGACCAUUGGGAGGAUCAUUAGGAGGACCAUUAGGAGGACCAUUAGAAGGCUAUGCCUUUGAGGGGCAUAUUUUUCCCUGGCCCCUUCCUGUGUGUCUCUGUCUAUCAGCCUCGCCUGCCCCAGCCACAACCACCACCAACAACAACAACAUAUACCACCACCAUAACCAUCACCACCAUAACCACCACCACCAUAACCACCACCACCACCACCACCACCACCACGAAGCUCUGCCAUGGAAACAGCACACACUGAAGUCUCUGUAAUCCUUCUUUCCUUAAGUUGUUUUCUAAGGCAUUUGGUUACAGUCAUAAAAAACCUGUAACAAGGCCCACAGGGAAAUCAAAUUGUUUCAACUGCCAGAGUUGAUAGCCUCCGAUGAGGGAAGUCCCUAGAGACUCUGAAGCAUCUCUAGGGGUGCUGGGGGAGUCCUGGGAUCUAAUUGUUACAGCACCAUGGAUGCCAACACCACUUGUUCCCUACAAUGUUGCUCUCAGCCUCCACCUCUGCACCCUCCCCGGGUCACCCUGGCUCCUCUAUGGUCAUGGGACUGGAUCACUUCCCAAGAAUGCUGACUCCUUGAGGCUAGUCCUCCACCCACCCACCAUCUACUCUGACCACAUCGGGGAACUAUGGAUGCUCAGGGUCACUGAGGAAGGAAGCAUGGAGUCACUGAGGAUGCUUCGGGUUGCUCUAGACACUUGAAUUUGGGGUAUCUGUAGGAGGUCACAGAGGGCUGGGGAAGGAAGGGCCAGUGCGAAUGGUGGGAGCUUGAAGCCAAGGCAGGAGUCCCUCAGUCAUAGGUCACUGGGGGUGGCUUUUUGUUCACGUAUAGGCUCCUGUCUGCCAGGGGCUAUGUGUAGAAGGCUAACUAGGUUGUGCUAAAAUCCCCCAGGUGCUACAGUUGGAGACUUGCUAAUUAGUUAAAUGACACUUUAGCGCCACCAUUUGUGGCCAGUGGGUGUGAAUGGUCCUGCUACUUCUAGGGAUCUGGGGCAGCACCCAGGGAUCUAGGGCAGGAUCCAGCAGUGUGGGUGACCACAGGCUGGGGACAGAGGGCAGGAGCCGGCAGUGUGGGUGACCACAGGCUGGGGACAGAGGGCAGGAGCCGGCAGUGUGGGUAACCACAGGCUGGGGACAGAGGACAGGAGCUGGCAGUAUGGGUGACCACAGGCUGGGGACAGAGGACAGGAGCUGGCAGUGUGGGUGACCACAGGCUGGGGACAGAGGACAGGAGUUGGCAGUGUGGGUGACCACAGGCUUGGGGGUGGGAGGAGUUGUCCCUAUCCCUUCCUGUCAGUUCCAUGAUCACUUGGCAGGCAGCUGGGUCAUCCUGCAUGCUUUGUGCACCCUGCCGGCUGUAAGCCACUGUUCCCUCCUCUGAACAGUCUGCCUUGCACCACAAUUGAAGGGCAGCCACUGACAGACCUGCUAGGCAUAGCCUGGGCCAAAUGCAGAUUUUUUUUUUCCCAUCCUGAUGCUCCCUGUCUGGUGCUCCCUACCUGGUGCUCCCUGCCUGCCGUUCCUGUCCAGAGCAGCUGCCCUGACCAUGGAUGUCUACAACAGCCCCAAGAGUCUCCAGUGGCCCUGAGUUUUUGCAGUGACCCUCACCUGAAGUGACCUCAACCCUAAGCCUCCUCAUUGACUCUGAACAUCUACGGUGACACUGACCUCCUACAAUAACCUCAACCUCAAGUGUCUGCAGUGACCCCCCAAGCAUCCUCGAUUGGGUUGACAGAGAUGGAAGAUGUUUGGGUCACCCCAGACUCUGCCACUCUUAGCAGAUACUAGAAGGGGAUGCUGAGACCCAAGUGCAAACCGAAGCCCUUCAUGAAGGCCUCCCCGUCUGCAGCAAGAACUGUUCUAACUCACUGCCUGAAGGCCCUCCUCGUCAGGGGUAGAACUUGGAUAAGAAACUUCUAGAAAGACUACAUUGACUCCCAGCCCGCCAUGUGGCUGACCAGUGAAAACGGGAAGUAAACUUCAAAAGCGGCAUAAGCUUUUUCCAGUCCCUGCUGCUUCCUGGUGCUCAGGGAAGACACUGGACAGCUGGGGCUCUAGAAGUCUCGUUGAACCACGAGGCACAAGACACAGCAUGAGUAAAGGCCAUGGGGGGCUGGGGAAAGCCAAGGUCCCUGGAGUCUUUGUGCUCCGGGAAGAGCGCCAUCAUGAAGACAAGUCAAAACAGAAGAUGAUGCAGAGCCAGGAGAGCCACCAAGCGACAGUCAGAGAUCCAGCUCUCAUCACCUGAGGUCUACAGCAGCCUGGUCAUUCUGUUGUCAAUGCCAGCCUGCUCCCUGGCUGGUAAGCCCCCUUGAGCUGGGUUUCUGUCAGAGGCCAAAAACACAUGUGCUGUGAGGCAUGCCUUGCUCAGUGGUCCUGUCGUCAUGUGAGGGACCUGAGGAGGGAAAGGAGCCUUGACACACAGGGAUGACUUUCCACAGAGGAGAAACGCCAGGUGGAUGACAGCGGGGACCUCCACGCAGUGGGGCAAGGCUUGGCCAGACAGGUCCUGGGCAUGUCCCCAGUCUCAGUGGGGUCUAGUGUGAUUGUACAGUCUGGAAUAGGACUGAGCACCUGGCAGCCCCAGGGUCCCAAGCCUGGGGCACCUUACUCAUCCUAUUUGGCCCAAAUUAAUGCUCUCGGGUAGCAGUUUGCCUUAGAGCUGUGAGUGAUACAAUGUGGCCCUUAUAUCUUUUACAACUGCUCAUUAGGCCUCCAGCCUCUCUGGAUAGACACAUGCUAAGCUCACACAUAAAGAGUACACAGACCCAUGGCACAUAAUACAUGUAGAUGUGUAUAACUCAUGUGUACAUUAUAUGCAUGUCAUGCAUUUAUAUAUGUGUGGUGUGCACAUCCACACAGAUUGAGGUACACAUGUACAGUAGAGUGCAUGUACAUUCAUGAGUGGCACCUCACGGGUUUGAACAUAGUUGUGGACGUACAUGCAUGAGCCCACAUUUACAUGUGGUACACAUACACAGGGUGCAUAUGAAGCCACAUGGCUGCACACCCUUCUCCUUCUCUCCAAAUUCAUCAGGGACUGAAGCCCUGGGGCUGGGCAUAAGAUGAAUGAGAGCCAAGGUAGUUGGAGAGAGACUCGCUGCAAUGGAAGCUAAGGUCAGCAGCAAAGGCCUGGGGUCCUGCCUUGAGCUUCAGCCACCAUACCUUCUCAGCUUUUCCUUGCCUCCUUUUCAGGCUCUAGGAAGACCAGAGGUUACUUGGGGUAGGUGAGGAUAAAUGAGGGUGUGUCCUCGGUUCACAGAGCCACCCACCCACUUCUGAGGAGUUGCCCAACUCCUGUGUUUAAUUCUGACCCAAGACAUCCAGAGGGCCAUGAGUUGAAGUGCCAAGUGUGAGCCGGACCACAGGCAUUUCUGGAACCUUGCAAUAGUCUAACUCUCUUGUCCAAGAUCUGGAGACUCUGUGGUGUGGUGGCCUGCUCGGAUCUUGAAUAUUUGUACCUGGCUCUCAAAGAGAUCAGAUGGGUCCUUCAGAGCCCAGGGGGACCUCAGGCCCAGUGUGGGUCUCUGUGAGAAGACCUCUCCAACAAAACCCAGACCCAUCUGGUCAGGUCAUUUCCCAGCAACCCUACUACACAGGUCACCUGACACUUGAGGGACAUCAGUGCUAGGUUAGGGAUGAGGGGUAGCAUCUCAGGUAGCAGCUUGCUUGCUCCUGCCCUGGAGCUGUGUGUGACACAGUGUGGCCCUUAUAACACUUACGACUGCUCAUUAGGCCUCCAGCCUCUAGAUAGACACAUGCUAAGCUCACACAUAAAGAGUACACAUAAACCAAGCAGCCUCAGUUCAGCCUGAGAGAACAGAAUGCUCGGGUUCCCGUGGCUGCCCUUCCUCCAGGACCAAGAACAGGGGAUGGGGAUGGGUGGAUUCAGCCUCAUGUCCUGUUCUUUUCUUUGGGGACAGUGGCCUUCCCCACCUUCUAAGGGUUGGAGAGCUGCUGUUCUUCACGCCAUCUAAAUCUGGGACCCACAGGUCUCCACCACCACAGGCACUAAAGAGGUCAGCCCAGGGGGGCCGAGUUACACAAGCUGAGCCCCAGUUCCUGACCCACAUCUCCUGCCUGUCCCCUCCGGCUUCUGUGGGGAAUGCACACGGGGUGUGAUGCUGGGCUGCGGGGCAUGUGUGGGCGUGUGAGACUGUGCCUUUGUACACAGGGGCACGCAUGCCCUGGCCUGCUGUCCUUACAGACUUUAUCUGUCAUACCAGGCUCUUGGUGCCCUGGGCACAGCACAGUUGUGUUCUCCCCUAACGUCCCCCAACGUCUCCCCCUUUGCUUCCCCCCACAAACUCCUAUACCACUCCCCAUCCCAGCUCCCAACUGAGUCAGCCUGCCACAUCCCCACCACCCACAGAUCCUUGGAUUCAUCUCUAAGCAGGACUGACUGCCAAGUGAGACCUUGAGGGAAGAGGUGCUCAGAGAAUUGUGGGGAUCAGCCUGGCCUCUGACCUUGAAAGGUUACAACGGGAACUGGCCAGACAGCAUAGUGUAGUAGCCCUUCCCAUGUCUGCAUGCCUUGGAUGCAUGACUGUGCCUGUCACUGUAGAUUUCUCACUAUGGCUGGUCACGUCACAACAGCCCAGGCACCUUCACUUUCCUAAUUUUCUAGCUCUAGUACCAGCUGGGAUCAGGGAACACCAGCACCGGAGCCUUUGUUUCCAUUAUCAUCAAACACCAGAAUCAGACCACUGCCCUCUGCCACUGUCUCCUCUCUUCCAUGUCUCCCUCAGGGCCUCCAUAAGCAUCAUCAGCCACCAUAGUCAUCCUCAGCCUUGUCCCUGCUUGGGCUUGAACGAACCUGCCUGCAGCUGGCCUUGACGCUCUUGGGGCCUGUGAUGGCCCUGUCUAGGUGGGGCUUGGCCUCCCAGCUCCAGGGCUGCAUGGGGUCAUGUAGCCCCCACCGCAGGCUGCACAGGUUGGCUCAGCAGCAGCUAGCUCCCCCUUGCUAAUUCUCUAAAUAAACAGUAAUGGGAGCUGCUCAGGCUGGCUGGGUUGGGCUUUGUGGGCUGUUUAUUUAUUUUUUUUCCCUCUUUGCUUUGAAUUUAUUUUUUUUCCUCCCUCUUCUAAAUUGGUGUGGUGUGGGGAAUUCAUAAUUCGCCCUCCUCACUCCCAUUUCGGCUCUCUUCCGCUGCCUAAUUAUCUAAUUUGUAAUAUUCCAUCUACCCUCCCUUUCAUCUCCCUCCAAACAUCCCGACCUGUUCAAAUAAAUAUGUACUUUUAAUUUCAA
This is a long non-coding RNA of Peromyscus californicus insignis, 7890 nucleotides long. RefSeq lists it as uncharacterized. The record is from RefSeq and is a predicted model, not a curated record. The transcript is spliced from 6 exons. NCBI's taxonomy places the organism in Eukaryota, Metazoa, Chordata, Mammalia, Rodentia, Cricetidae.